UAUUGUGUUAAAAAAUUCAUGUUACGCAUGAAAUUUACGGAUAUUGUUUCUAGCAAUUUUUAUUUUUGUGUGUAUUUGCAUCAUUAUGUACAUGACUUUUCGGAUGUUUUUCGAUUUUGAAAAACCACAUGCGUAAUAUAAAACAGAAAAGUCGUAACGCUUAGUCAAUAUUUGAGCAAAAUAUAAUAAUAAUAAUUUUAUUAACAAAAGUGUCUAAGUCGUAACGCUGAGUCAAUAUUAAAAAUAAUAAUAAUAAUAACUUUAUUAUAAGACCUAUUUCUAUAUUGUAUUUCUUAUUCCAAAGUUGGUAGUUUCAGAAAAUGCCUAGAGUUAAACCCGCUGUCAAGCCGGCGAAGCGGAAAUAAGCACGUACGGGUGGACCUAAACCAAAAAGUGGGAUCAGUCGAAUCUACAGAAGUUUCGUCAGAGGAAAACAUACCCUGUACAGACAUUAUUGUUACCAUGGUUACGACAAGUGUGGUUACUUUUUCAACUAGUUCCAACAAUGAAUCUAAUGUCAAUGUAGAGACUGCCAAUCAUGUUGAUACAAAAGGUAAUGAGAUCGAUGGUAUAUGCGGUAGUUUGGGGGCAAUUGCUACAGAAUGAAUCAAACAAAAAAUGUUAAGGCCGAAUACAUUGAUUUAGGACAGCUUCUAUCCAAUCCGGCCCGAUGGUUAAUAAGCAAACACUAACAGUCUCUAAUGGUCAAGUAUUAAUUGAACCGAAAUGGGCUACAGUUAAAAUUACAAAUGUACAUCAGUAGACUUACGCAUUUUUGAUUUUCUCUUAAGUUUAUGCCGCAGUACACUCUACAGAAUUUCUUUUUUGGCUUGUUUAAAUACAUCCACACUGUUUUUCUAGGGGCUAGCAGGUAGGCUGUCAGAAUGAGGUGGAAGUUUUAUAAUGAGCAAUUUCGAAUGAGAAUGGCAAGAAAUUCAAGUGUUUCAUGAAGAAUAGUUGAUUAGGAGCUUAAGCUACUGUACAUGGUACCAUCGUUUAUUGGUCCGGUGCAAAAACCUUCAGGGGGGGGGUGUUAAAUGCUAUGACUAUAACAAUUAUCUGGUUUGUGUAAAACAGCAGUGCCAUUAUUUACAUAAAUGUUUGAACUAUAGCGGGCCUUAUCCAUGUAAAGAGGCCCGUCUGCUAAAUAUCAAUAUGCUUCUAGAGAUUUUUCAGGUCAAAGAUACCCAUUAUAAUACAGGAACCAGGGACCUUCAUCAAGACCACCCCAGUCUUGAGCAUGAUUCCCCAGUGCACCACAAUCUGCAGGACCUAGGUUAUUCCCCAGUUAAAGCAGAAGUUCUUGCAGCUUAUUUACAAAACUCUGAUUAUAAUAGGAAGAGUUCAAAAAUUUUGCUAAAGGGGUUUUAUCAAGUUUUCUAAAUUACAAUAGUCCAAAAGGUAGCUACUAAUUGUUUUAAUUUAAAGUCAGCUAGAGAUAAUGAGCUUGGAAUUCUGAAAAAAGUUUUAAAAACUAAUGCUGGAAGAGUUACUGGCCCAUUCCAUUCAAGACCCUUUCCCAGUCUAAGGCUUUCAUUCACCUGUAGGUUUAGUACUGAAAAAAGUUGGAUCAUUUAGGUUGAUUAAUCAUUUAUCUUAACCGGAAAACUCGAGUGUUAAUUUCUUUAUUGAUCCAUCUUUCUCCUUAGUCAAUUACUCCUCAUUAGAUGAUGCGGUUAGGUUACUAAGUUUGUUGGGUAAGGGGGCCUUGAUUGGUAAAAUGGACCUCAAGUCUGCAUUUAGGUUGCUUCCUGUUCACCCAGCAGAUCUUUGAGCUUUUAGGUUUUAAAACAAAUAUUUUGUGGUGUCUUGUAGUCUUUUUGAGGAAUUUUCAUCAUAUUUGGAAUGGAUAUUGAAGCAACAGUCUGGACAGAAAUCAUUACUUAUAUGAUUUUUUGUUUCCUGGUAGGGCAGGUAGGAAUAUAUGUGACGAACUCAUGUCAUUCUUUGUGGGGCUAUGCGAGCAGUUAGGUGUCCCCUCAAUAGCCGAUGAUAAAACAGUGUGGCCUUCCACUCCCCUGACCUUUUUGGGUUUUGAGUUAUAUUCGGUUGAAAUGAUGUUAAGAAUCCCAGUUGAGAAGUACGUAGAAUAGUUUAAAGGAUUUGAUCAACAUUUUUAUGUCAAGAAAGAAGGCUACUCUAAAGGAAUUUAAGGCUCUUGCAGGUUUGUUGAAUUUUUGUUUGUGUGUCACUCUGUCAGGCCGGGCAUUCACUAGGCAUAAUUUAUGACAUCAUGCAAGGGGUCUGUAAACCACAUCGCUUUAUUAGGGUUUCUGUGGUGGUAAAGGAGGACUUGGAAGUGUGACUUACUCUUUUUAGAUUUGUUUAAUGGCUGCUGUUACUUUCCACAAAUUGACUGGGUAGAUGAUGAUCAACUCCAAUUAUUUACUGACAGUGCAUGGAAUUCAGAAUUAGUUUGUGGUGCUUUCUUUAAGAAUCAUUGGUUGUUUUUCAAGAGACCAAGUGAAUGGGUUGGUACUGAAGUAAUGAGGGACAUUUUUUAGCUUGUUCCAGUUUAAACAAUAUACAGUUCAAGGCUUGUCUUAUUAUCGUGUGGGUCACAUCCGAUUUGGCAUCCUGAUGAAAAAUAGAUAAUAGAAUUUAUGGCUAGUUGUUCAUUAAAGUAUCUGUCAUCUGCUACAAACAUAUCUGUCAGGUACAAGCUUUAAAUGUAAACUUGAUGGUACUUGAGACUUUGUUAUGAAAAAGAUGGUGGUAGGCAUGUCAGGACUGCAAAGUUCUGUAGAUUGCCAAUUAUAUCAAGAAUUAGGUCGUUGGGGAUCAAAAGUUUACAAGAGAUAAAUAAGAAUACAAACCUCAAAUUCAUUGAUGGCUAAAGACUCAAUUGGUUGUAUUACUUUUUAAGCACCUCAAGCAGUAUAGCUUGAUAGAUUUUCUAAUACCUUUAUGCAAAAUCUUAUUUUAAAUAUGAUCAUUUUUGUUUACAAAUAUUUCAGAGGGUGUAAGAAUAUGUAUUUUUGGAUCGGCAAUAAUAUGGUAUGAUUUUGGUUAUGCUAGUCAAAAUGGGGGGUUCAGUUUGGGUUAUCCACAUUGAAAGCUAAUAGCUGGUGGCAGGGAAAAGGCGGCAUGAGAUGUUGACAUCUCCUCCCAAAAAUCAAAUUAAUGUUAAGGUAUGAAGAUACCCCACAAUUAUAAUCUGGUUCUGCAUUGCGAUGGCAACGACAUUGGUCAAAUUCCAUCAUGUGUUUUGCAUUAUAGCAUAAAUAAUUCUUUUGAUUCAAUUUUAGUUAUGUUACCAAACACCAAUUAUUGGAAAUUAUUUGGUCUCAGUAUUACCUAGAUUGAUUUGGCAUAAAACUAGGGACAACCAUGCUCUUAAUAAAGUCGGGUUUCAAGUUUAUAGCUUUGUUGUAAUGAAACUUCUGGCACAUCAAGAGGGAUAUAUUUGUUGCCCAGAGUUCACUUUGGUUGAUCAUACUCUACUUUAAGAGGAUGGGGUGCACCUGUCAGAGCAAGGCAAUGAGAUAUUUGUUGAAACUUUGAGGAAAGCAUUGCAUAAUUUUAUAAUGUCAAGGGUGGGCUUUAAUGGCCAUGGCACGUCUAUUUCACUGACUAAAUAAUGUAAAGCAAACUAAAAUAGACACACAAUAGAUGUUACUAAUGUGAUUGUUUUAUACUCAUUUGUCUUGGUAUGCAAUGUUAAUUUAUUUGCUUUGCCUUUCUAUAAAAAGGAGGGGGGGGGGGUAAUCAUAAGCGUUCAGCUACCGCCAUUGUGGCGGUGGACACAUAGUGUCCAUUGGCGCAAUCUUUAGCUGAACUUAAAUAGGGUUAUAUUUAGUGAGCAUCUGUUCCCAGGGCUCGCUACAACUGUACAUAAUUAUUUUCAAUAUGUGUGAAAUUUCAAUUUGCUUAUUUGUGUCAGACUGGAUGAAACAUUUGCAAUGUAUUAUUUGCCAGUAGGUUGCUUAACAGUUUCAUUUGUAUAUUUGCCUAUUUCAUAUUCAUUUCUAUAUUUGCCUAUUUCAUGAUGAUUUUCAUUUACAUGUAAUUGCCAUUUGCCAUUUGGGUUGUCAAAAUCGCCCAAUGUAUUUGCCCAUUUCAUGAUGAUUUUCAUUUACAUGUAUUUGCCAUUUGCCAUUUGGGUUGCCAAAAUCGCCCAAUGUAUUUGGGUCGGUAACCUUGGUUACGAUUGUAACCAGUAACUAAAUGUAAUUUCCUGAAAAUUGUAGUGCUGCCAUGGCCAUUAUUCGCCAUUAAACUUUAAGAAAUUUAUAUAUGUGUGGUUUUCUCUAAUAAUUCGA
Saccostrea cuccullata (small rock oyster) is the source of this 4262-nucleotide long non-coding RNA. RefSeq lists it as uncharacterized. NCBI's taxonomy places the organism in Eukaryota, Metazoa, Mollusca, Bivalvia, Ostreida, Ostreidae. The record is from RefSeq and is a predicted model, not a curated record. The transcript has 2 exons.